ACAACUUUCAACAACGGAUCUCUUGGCUCUCGCACCGAUGAAGAACGCAGCGAAAUGCGAUAAGUAAUGUGAAUUGCAGAAUUCAGUGAAUCAUCGAAUCUUUGAACGCACCUUGCACCCUUUGG
This 125-nucleotide ribosomal RNA is filed under the name uncultured Sebacinales. RNAcentral's name for it is "partial 5.8S ribosomal RNA". It matches the Rfam family "5.8S ribosomal RNA", at positions 1 to 123 of the family's 154-position model. Rfam says of the family: 5.8S ribosomal RNA (5.8S rRNA) is a component of the large subunit of the eukaryotic ribosome. It is transcribed by RNA polymerase I as part of the 45S precursor that also contains 18S and 28S rRNA. The record is from RNAcentral. Lineage: Eukaryota; Fungi; Basidiomycota; Agaricomycetes; Sebacinales.